Molecule: transfer RNA, 73 nt
Rfam family: tRNA
About the family: Transfer RNA (tRNA) molecules are approximately 80 nucleotides in length.
Source: Rfam
GGCUCAAUGGUCAAAUAGGUUAAGACAUAGUACUUUCACUACUGAGGUGGGGAUUCGAGCUCCCCUUGAGCUA